This 460-nucleotide ribosomal RNA is filed under the name uncultured bacterium. RNAcentral describes it as "partial 16S ribosomal RNA". It matches the Rfam family "Bacterial small subunit ribosomal RNA", at positions 338 to 795 of the family's 1533-position model. The record is from RNAcentral.
CCUACGGGAGGCAGCAGUGAGGAAUAUUGGUCAAUGGGCGCGAGCCUGAACCAGCCAAGUAGCGUGAAGGAUGACUGCCCUACGGGUUGUAACCUUCUUUUAUAAAGGAAUAAAGUGAGGCACGUGUGCCUUUUUGUAUGUACUUUAUGAAUAAGGAUCGGCUAAAUCCGUGCCAGCAGCCGCGGUAAUACGGAGGAUCCGAGCGUUAUCCGGAUUUAUUGGGUUUAAGGGGAGCGUAGAUGGGUUGUUAAGUCAGUUGUGAAAGUUUGCGGCGCAACCGUAAAAUUGCAAUUGAUACUGGCAGUCUUGAAUACAGAUGAGGUAGGCGGAAUGCGUGGUGUAGCGGUGAAAUGCUUAGAUAUCACGAAGAACACCGAUUGCGAAGGCAGCUCACGAAACUGCCACUGACAUUGAUGCUCGAAAGUGUGGGUAUCAAACAGGAUUAGAUACCCCAGUAGUC